Molecule: long non-coding RNA, 210 nt
Filed under: Malus domestica (apple)
Lineage: Eukaryota; Viridiplantae; Streptophyta; Magnoliopsida; Rosales; Rosaceae
Description: long non-coding RNA (MDOM_LNC015353)
Source: RNAcentral
GAGCGUAAUAAAGGAAAGCGUUCCUAAACGACUCAAUUGGAUCAUAUAAGAAGGAAUAAUCACAUUAGGGGUUUGACAUGAAAUAUCCAUACCCUAAUGAUGUGAUUGAGAGUAUUGUAUUAGAGAAGGAUUGAAUUACAUUGUAAUUCCAACUGACUAGGUUCUUUGAAUAAACUUCUACAUUAGCUUGGUAGCUAUGACAUAUGGUUA